CUUGAACUUCAAAGCAUGGUAGUAUUGAAAAGAAAAGGCUCGCCAAGGUAAUAAAGAAAACAGUAAAAACUCGAGGAAGAGACGUCACUAACCAAUCUCAGAGUCAGUAUGUUAGAGGUAAUAAUGCUAUAAGUUCAUGUCAUUUUCGUUGAUGUUUUGGGUAGUUAGGUUCAUGAAAUAACAAUACACUUUUCUAUACAGCAGAUACCAGAUUAUGAAAGAGUGUUUUGUGGAGAAGAUAGCUGGAGUCAUUGUAGAAUUUGUAAUCAGCGGAUGAUAACACAUCGUGAUCUGGUUUAAAAGAAGCUAAAUGAGAAACUAUCUGUACCAAAGGCGUGGAGAUUCUGCAGAUGAGGAGAGUAAGAGGAACUCUGCAAGUGAUGGGCCAGCGAAAGCUAAGCGCCCAAGAUGUGAGAAGUAGAGCUCCCAUUCAUCUUCUCACUUAUUGCAUGCUUCAAUGAUGUUUAAGUCUUUUUUUCAGUUUAAGUAUUGACUUAUGAUUUCCUUUCAGUUUUUUGCUUUUCAGUGUUUUUUUUCCUUGAAACAUUUUAUCUACUUUGCAUGAUUAGCAGCUAAAAAUCAUGUUUACUGUUUUAUCACUCUGCUUCAUCAGAAUUACAUUGCUCAGUUUAUUA
Long non-coding RNA from Brassica napus (rape), 635 nucleotides. RefSeq lists it as uncharacterized. The transcript is spliced from 2 exons. Lineage: Eukaryota; Viridiplantae; Streptophyta; Magnoliopsida; Brassicales; Brassicaceae. The record is from RefSeq and is a predicted model, not a curated record.